GAGGGUAUAGCUCAGUUGUAGAGCACAUGCUUAGCAAACACGAGAUCCUGAGUUCAAUCCCCAGUACCUCCA
Molecule: transfer RNA, 72 nt
Filed under: Camelus bactrianus (Bactrian camel)
Lineage: Eukaryota; Metazoa; Chordata; Mammalia; Artiodactyla; Camelidae
Also listed under: 3 other names
Rfam family: tRNA
About the family: Transfer RNA (tRNA) molecules are approximately 80 nucleotides in length. Their secondary structure includes four short double-helical elements and three loops (D, anti-codon, and T loops). Further hydrogen bonds mediate the characteristic L-shaped molecular structure. tRNAs have two regions of fundamental functional importance: the anti-codon, which is responsible for specific mRNA codon recognition, and the 3' end, to which the tRNAs corresponding amino acid is attached (by aminoacyl-tRNA synthetases). tRNAs cope with the degeneracy of the genetic code in two manners: having more than one tRNA (with a specific anti-codon) for a particular amino acid; and 'wobble' base-pairing, i.e. permitting non-standard base-pairing at the 3rd anti-codon position.
Source: Rfam by way of RNAcentral